UGUUAAAAAUUUUAUUUAUUCGUAUUGUUAAAAACUAGUGCAAUUGAUAGAAUAAUUAAGUAGUACCACAUAUACGUCAACAUAACAUACAUAGACUAAUUUUUAACAGUAAAAAUGAAUGAAAUUUUGAACA
This is a non-coding RNA of Gossypium hirsutum (cotton), 133 nucleotides long. NCBI's taxonomy places the organism in Eukaryota, Viridiplantae, Streptophyta, Magnoliopsida, Malvales, Malvaceae. The record is from Rfam.